Molecule: small nuclear RNA, 108 nt
Filed under: Pan troglodytes (chimpanzee)
Lineage: Eukaryota; Metazoa; Chordata; Mammalia; Primates; Hominidae
Source: RNAcentral
UUGCUCUUUUCAGUAGCAAAUGUUACUAAAAUUGGAACGACACAGGAUGAUUAGCAAUGCCUCCUGCGCAAAUAAGACACGCAAAUUCGUGAUGGACCAUCCAUAUUC